UGAAAAGCAAUGAAAAGAAGAGUAGAUAGAAUAGUUCAUUUUCAGAGAGCUCUAGAUGGUGGGAUUGAGCAAUGGAUUUUUAUUGAAGAAGGUCUUGGAGCUGCACACUGAGUCUAUUUUCAUAGAGGUAGGAUGUGACGGAAUACCCCGUUAUAGGUAUAGAGUAUCUCACAUUUUUUGAUGUACUUGAAGAGGUGUAUACGGCAACGCAUACAUAAACUGAGGUGGUACCACGAAUUUAUAACUUUCGUCCUCAAG
This 258-nucleotide non-coding RNA is filed under the name Clostridium sp. Its description in RNAcentral is "T-box sequence". It matches the Rfam family "T-box leader". From Rfam's summary of the family: Uncharged tRNA acts as the effector for transcription antitermination of genes in the T-box leader family. T-boxes are found upstream of many aminoacyl-tRNA synthetase genes and some amino acid biosynthetic genes usually in Gram-positive bacteria. The anticodon of a specific tRNA base pairs to a specifier sequence within the T-box motif, and the NCCA acceptor tail of the tRNA base pairs to a conserved bulge in the T-box antiterminator hairpin. Lineage: Bacteria; Bacillati; Bacillota; Clostridia; Eubacteriales; Clostridiaceae. The record is from RNAcentral.